Long non-coding RNA from Thalassophryne amazonica, 188 nucleotides. RefSeq lists it as uncharacterized. Lineage: Eukaryota; Metazoa; Chordata; Actinopteri; Batrachoidiformes; Batrachoididae. The record is from RefSeq and is a predicted model, not a curated record. The transcript has 3 exons.
ACCGUGCAUAUGAGCCUCCGAACGCAGUACAAAUGUAGGUGGAACACUGUAAGAGUACCUGGACAACUGCCAGAAUGCAGUAAAAACAAUAAGAAUGCACUUACAAGCCGUACGAUUGUGAUCUGAUUGCAGUUUGGCAGAAUAUAUUCCAGUAGCACUCGAGGCGCAUUCCCACAAUUCACUUCAGG